CUUGAUUUCAGACUUCUUCUCUCCUGAGCUGUGGACCUUUCCAAGCCCGUCAGGCUGGCGAGACAGAAAUGACAACAGGUUCAGGACUCCUGCAGCCUCGAGGGAAACCCUGCAAUAGGCAGCUCUCACACGUAAAUACCCUGCACAACCAAGAGACUCGGGAGAUGGUCGUGGAGGGAAAGAG
Molecule: non-coding RNA, 184 nt
Organism: Vicugna pacos (alpaca)
Lineage: Eukaryota; Metazoa; Chordata; Mammalia; Artiodactyla; Camelidae
Source: RefSeq, a predicted model, not a curated record